Long non-coding RNA from Molossus molossus (Pallas's mastiff bat), 854 nucleotides. RefSeq lists it as uncharacterized. NCBI's taxonomy places the organism in Eukaryota, Metazoa, Chordata, Mammalia, Chiroptera, Molossidae. The record is from RefSeq and is a predicted model, not a curated record. The transcript is spliced from 6 exons.
CUCCAGUUCGGUGCCCGUUUCCUCCGCCGGGCGUGGAUCUCUCGGGUCCAGGUCUUCCAGAAGGGGCCCCAGCCUUGCAACUGUGUGGCUCUUGGAGACCGAUGACAACUCUCCCACAGACGGCCUUUGGGGUUCUGCACCAGCCAGCACCCCUUCUGUCCUGCAGGACCCUGAUCUUACUGCCUGAUGCACCCCCAUGGUGUCCAGAGGGUGAGGCUGUCCCCUUGGGAGUGUCAUGUGACUGCUGUUCCCUGUGUGAGAAGUGUCCUCAGGAAGAGCCUGGAUGAUGAGGUUCCAGAUGGCUCUGUGGGUGCAGAGGUGCCAUGGGAGAUGUCAGUCUUCAUGUCAGCUGGGUGCUAGACGAUGGGGCUCUGAGGUCAGCCUUAGAGCAGAGACUGUUGAAGAAGGUCCCAAGGCCAUGAAUCAGUGACCCUCAGGAUGACUUGGGACCUGGGUUUCCUGACAUUUCUCACCAAGAUUGUCUUGGUGGUGUUUGUGGACACCCGAGGGGCAGAGAAUUGAGAGGAGGUCCCCACAGAAGCCUCACCACAGCUGCUCCUCACUGCCCGCUCAGAGCAUCCUGGAACAACUGUUCACUCUGCAAGGGGAUCAGAGGGAAAGCUUGGGGUUCACUUCAGCUGGCUCUGCAUCAUGACAGCAGUACCCUUAGAAGGCCAGCCCCAUGUCCUCUGCCAUGCUUGGAAUGACUUUAAUAACCAAGAGCUUUUCUCUUGAACUUGUAGCUGUUCAUCACUUUCCUCUCCACCGCCCAUUUAAUAAACCUUACAGACUUGCUCUGUCUGCCUUUUAAAUCAGCAUGAAGCCGUGUGCCAGCAAGGCUGGGCAUGGAGAGA